UACGAAGGGGGCUAGCGUUGUUCGGAAUUACUGGGCGUAAAGCGCACGUAGGCGGAUAUUUAAGUCAGGGGUGAAAUCCCAGAGCUCAACUCUGGAACUGCCUUUGAUACUGGGUAUCUUGAGUAUGGAAGAGGUAAGUGGAAUUGCGAGUGUAGAGGUGAAAAUUCGUAGAUAUUCGCAGGAACACCAGUGGCGAAGGCGGCUUACUGGUCCAUAACUGACGCUGAGGUGCGAAAGCGUGGGGGAGCAAACAGGGAUUAAGAAAACCCGAGUACGUC
Molecule: ribosomal RNA, 278 nt
Filed under: uncultured bacterium
Lineage: Bacteria
Description: partial 16S ribosomal RNA
Rfam family: Bacterial small subunit ribosomal RNA
Source: RNAcentral